This 680-nucleotide ribosomal RNA is filed under the name uncultured fungus. Its description in RNAcentral is "eukaryotic LSU rRNA". It matches the Rfam family "Eukaryotic large subunit ribosomal RNA", at positions 40 to 647 of the family's 3401-position model. Lineage: Eukaryota; Fungi. The record is from RNAcentral.
AUAUCAAUAAGCGGAGGAAAAGAAACUAACAAGGAUUCCCCUAGUAACGGCGAGUGAAGCGGGAAGAGCUCAAAUUUUAAAUCUUGUGGGUUUACCUACACGAAUUGUAGUUUAAAGAAACGUUUUCGGGUCUGAUGUGGGUAUAAGUCCUUUGGAAAAAGGCAUCAUGGAGGGUGAGAAUCCCGUUCUUGAUCCACUUUCAGAUCUAUGCGAUACGUUUUCCAAGAGUCGGUUUGUUUGGGAAUGCAGACCAAAAUGGGUGGUAAAUACCAUCUAAAGCUAAAUAUUGGCGAGAGACCGAUAGCGAACAAGUACCGUGAGGGAAAGAUGAAAAGAACUUUGAAAAGAGAGUUAAACAGUACGUGAAAUUGUCAAAAGGGAAACGCUUGAAACCAGUAUUGCGUGCAUGUAAUCAAUCAAACCUUCGGUUUGGUGCACUUGCCUGUAAGCAGGUCAACGUCAGUUUAGUUUGGGGUAAAAAGUCGGAGGAAGGUAGCCCUCUGGGUAUUAUAGCCUCCGAUCCUGCCCCGGAUUAGACUGAGGACUGCAGCAUUCUUUUGGGUACCCGGUCGCCUCUUGAAACUGCGUUGCAGAAAGCUUGCUGACUGUAACGGAACGUAAGGAGCUCGGUCGGUCUUCCACACCAAUGCUUUGGAUGUUGACGAAAUGGUUUUAAACGA